AGUGAACGCUGGCGGUAGGCCUAACACAUGCAAGUCGAACGGCAGCACAGUAAGAGCUUGCUCUUACGGGUGGCGAGUGGCGGACGGGUGAGGUAUACAUCGGAAUCUACUUUUUCGUGGGGGAUCACGUAGGGAAACUUACGCUAAUACCGCAUACGACCUACCGUUGAAAGCAGUGGAUCUUCGCACCUUGCGCGAUUGAAUGAGCCGCUGUCGGAGUUGCUAGUUGGCGGGGUAAAGGCCCACCAAGGCGACGAUCCGUAGCUGGUCUGAGAGGAUGAUCAGCGACACUGGAACUGAGCCACGGUCAAGACUCCUACGGGAGGCAGCAGUGGGGAAUAUUGGACAAUGGGCGCAAGCAUGAUCCAGCCAGACCGCGUGGGUGAAGAAGGCCUUCGGGUUGGAAAGCCGUUUUGUGGGGAAAGAAAAGCAGCAGGUUAAUACCCCGCUGUUCUGACGGUACCCAAAGAAUAAGCACCGGCUAACUUCGUG
Molecule: ribosomal RNA, 492 nt
Filed under: uncultured bacterium
Lineage: Bacteria
Description: partial 16S ribosomal RNA
Rfam family: Bacterial small subunit ribosomal RNA
Source: RNAcentral